RNAcentral lists this transfer RNA (30 nucleotides) under Myodes glareolus (Bank vole). RNAcentral describes it as "partial tRNA-Ala". The record is from RNAcentral. Lineage: Eukaryota; Metazoa; Chordata; Mammalia; Rodentia; Cricetidae.
GAGGAUUUAGCUUAAUAAAAGCAAUUGAUU